RNAcentral lists this long non-coding RNA (257 nucleotides) under Salvia miltiorrhiza (redroot sage). RNAcentral's name for it is "long non-coding RNA (SMIL_LNC010306)". Lineage: Eukaryota; Viridiplantae; Streptophyta; Magnoliopsida; Lamiales; Lamiaceae. The record is from RNAcentral.
UUCAAUAAACACACUUGAAAGCAAAAAGAAAAAUUCCACUCGAAAUAAACAAAUGCAAGUCGAUCAUUAAAAAGCAGGAGUCGAUUUACUCCCUUCUCAUCCCCAUUCUCGGCCUCCCCUCUCUCUCUCUAUACUCUCUUUUCCUCCAUUGAUGUCCAUUGAAGAAAGCUUAGAGAAGCUUCAUCAAACACUACUAUGAGAUAAUCCACCAUCCAAUCCAAUCAAAUACUAUCAUAUCUCAUCAAAUUCAAGAAGCU